Molecule: ribosomal RNA, 1240 nt
Filed under: metagenome
Description: bacterial LSU rRNA
Rfam family: Bacterial large subunit ribosomal RNA
Source: RNAcentral
UGAAUACGAGAUGCUACGGCGUCGAAGCAGUCUAUGUCAUACUUCCAAGAAAAGCUUGCACUGUCAUAAACAAAUAAUGCCUGUACCAUAACCGACACAGGUGGGUAGGUAGAGUAUACUAAGGGGCGCGAGAUAACUCUCUCUAAGGAACUCGGCAAAAUGACUCCGUAACUUCGGGAGAAGGAGUGCCUUAUUUAUAAGGUUGCAAUAACAAGAUCCAAGCAACUGUUUACCAAAAACACAGGUCUCCGCUAAGUCGUAAGACGAUGUAUGGGGGCUGACGCCUGCCCAGUGCCAGAAGGUUAAAGAAGUUGGUUAGCAUCCGCGAAGCUGAUAACUGAAGCCCUGGUGAACGGCGGCCGUAACAAUAACGGUCCUAAGGUAGCGAAAUUCCUUGUCGGGUAAGUUCCGACCCGCACGAAAGGCGUAAUGAUUUGGAUACUGUCUCGGAGAGGGGCUCGGUGAAAUAGACUUGUCUGUGAAGAUGCGGACUACCUGCACCAGGACAGAAAGACCCUAUGAAGCUUUACUGUAACCUGAAAUUGAAAUUGGACUUUACUUGCGCAGUAUAGGUGGGAGGCGUUGAGAAUAUUCUUGCGGGAUUAUUGGAGCCAUCAGUGAGAUACCACUCUUGUAAUGUUAGAUUUCUAACUUUGUAUCAUUAUCUGGUCAAAGAACAGUUUCAGGCGGGCAGUUUGACUGGGGCGGUCGCCUCCUAAACGGUAACGGAGGCGCACAAAGGUUUCCUCUGAACGGGUAGAAAUCGUAUCUAGAGUGUAAAGGCAUAAGGAAGCUUGACUGUGAGACCUACAAGUCGAGCAGGGACGAAAGUCGGUCUUAGUGAUCUGACGGUGCUGAGUGGAAAGGCCGUCACUCAACGGAUAAAAGUUACUCUAGGAUAACAGGCUGAUCUCCCCCAAGAGUUCACAUCGACGGGGAGGUUUGGCACCUCGAUGUCGGCUCAUCGCAUCCUGGGGCGGUAGUACGUCCCAAGGGUUGGGCUGUUCGCCCAUGAAAGCGGUACGCGAGCUGGGUUCAGAACGUCGUGAGACAGUUCGGUCCAUAUCCGGUGUAGGCGUUAGAAUAUUGAGAGGAGCCUUCUUUAGUACGAGAGGACCGAGAAGGACAUACCUCUGGUGUACCAGCUAUCGUGCCAACGGUAAACGCUGGGUAGCUAUGUGUGGAGUGGAUAACCGCUGAAAGCAUCUAAGUGGGAAGCCCACCUCAAGAUAAGUAUUCU